RNAcentral lists this unclassified non-coding RNA (177 nucleotides) under uncultured Sebacinaceae. RNAcentral describes it as "sequence contains ITS1". Lineage: Eukaryota; Fungi; Basidiomycota; Agaricomycetes; Sebacinales; Sebacinaceae. The record is from RNAcentral.
AUGAUUGCGAAUGGGUUGCCUUCAGUGCUGGCUCAUUAAAAAGCAAGUGCACGUUGGUGGCUUUCAUCCAAUAACCCUUGUGAACCUUUGGCCUCUUGCUAGCUUCGGCUGGCAAAGGAUUUUUAUACACACACUCGAAUGUAAUGAAAACUAUUGUCGUGCGCAUGCACUAAUGUA